UGGGAACGCGAAGAACCUUACCUAGACUUGACAUCUCCUGAAUUACCCUUAAUCGGGGAAGCCCUUCGGGGCAGGAAGACAGGUGGUGCAUGGUUGUCGUCAGCUCGUGUCGUGAGAUGUUGGGUUAAGUCCCGCAACGAGCGCAACCCUUAUUGUUAGUUGCUACCAUUUAGUUGAGCACUCUAGCGAGACUGCCCGGGUUAACCGGGAGGAAGGUGGGGAUGACGUCAAAUCAUCAUGCCCCUUAUGUCUAGGGCUACACACGUGCUACAAUGGCUGGUACAGAGAGAUGCUAAACCGCGAGGUGGAGCCAAACUUUAAAACCAGUCUCAGUUCGGAUUGUAGGCUGAAACUCGCCUACAUGAAGCUGGAGUUGCUAGUAAUCGCGAAUCAGAAUGUCGCGGUGAAUACGUUCCCGGGUCUUGUACACACCG
This 434-nucleotide ribosomal RNA is filed under the name uncultured bacterium. RNAcentral's name for it is "bacterial SSU rRNA". It matches the Rfam family "Bacterial small subunit ribosomal RNA", at positions 954 to 1392 of the family's 1533-position model. The record is from RNAcentral.